RNAcentral lists this ribosomal RNA (503 nucleotides) under uncultured bacterium. RNAcentral's name for it is "partial 16S ribosomal RNA". It matches the Rfam family "Bacterial small subunit ribosomal RNA", at positions 30 to 523 of the family's 1533-position model. The record is from RNAcentral.
AUUGAACGCUGGCGGCAGGCCUAACACAUGCAAGUCGAACGGUAGCACAGAGAGCUUGCUCUCGGGUGACGAGUGGCGGACGGGUGAGUAACGUCUGGGAAACUGCCCGAUGGAGGGGGAUAACUACUGGAAACGGUAGCUAAUACCGCAUAACGUCGCAAGACCAAAGUGGGGGACCUUCGGGCCUCACACCAUCGGAUGUGCCCAGAUGGGAUUAGCUAGUAGGUGGGGUAAUGGCUCACCUAGGCGACGAUACCUAGCUGGUCUGAGAGGAUGACCAGCCACACUGGAACGGAGACACGGUCCAGACUCCUACGGGAGGCAGCAGUGGGGAAUAUUGCACAAUGGGCGCAAGCCUGAUGCAGCCAUGCCGCGUGUAUGAAGAAGGCCUUCGGGUUGUAAGUACUUUCAGCGGGGAGGAAGGCGGUGAAGUUAAUAACUUCACCGAUUGACGUUACCCGCAGAAGAAGCACCGGCUAACUCCGUGCCAGCCGCCGCCGUAA